Molecule: ribosomal RNA, 443 nt
Filed under: uncultured bacterium
Lineage: Bacteria
Description: partial 16S ribosomal RNA
Rfam family: Bacterial small subunit ribosomal RNA
Source: RNAcentral
CCUACGGGUGGCAGCAGUGGGGAAUAUUGGACAAUGGGGGGAACCCUGAUCCAGCGACGCCGCGUGAGUGAAGAAGUAUUUCGGUAUGUAAAGCUCUAUUAGCAGGGAAGAAAGAAAUGACGGUAGCUGACUAAGAAGCCUCGGCUAACUACGUGCCAGCAGGCGCUGUAAUACGUAGGGGGCAAGCGUUAUCCGGAUUUACUGGGUGUAAAGGGUGCGUAGAUGGCGAUGGAAGUCUGAAGUGAAAGGCGGGGGCCCAAACUCCGGACUGGUUUGGAUACUGGAUGGCUGGAGUGCAGGAGAGGUAAGUGGAAUGCGUGGUGUAGCGGUGAAAUGCGUAGAUAUUAGGAGGAACACCAGUGGCGAAGGCGGCGUACUGGACUGUAACUGACGUUGAGGCUCGAAAGCGUGGGGAGCAAACAGGAUUAGAUACCCGGGUAGUC